This 396-nucleotide RNase P RNA is filed under the name Acinetobacter corruptisaponis. RNAcentral describes it as "Acinetobacter sp. KCTC 92772 RNase P RNA component class A". It matches the Rfam family "Bacterial RNase P class A". From Rfam's summary of the family: Ribonuclease P (RNase P) is a ubiquitous endoribonuclease, found in archaea, bacteria and eukarya as well as chloroplasts and mitochondria. Its best characterised activity is the generation of mature 5'-ends of tRNAs by cleaving the 5'-leader elements of precursor-tRNAs. Cellular RNase Ps are ribonucleoproteins. Lineage: Bacteria; Pseudomonadati; Pseudomonadota; Gammaproteobacteria; Moraxellales; Moraxellaceae. The record is from RNAcentral.
GAAGUGGGCUGGACGGUCGCUGCUGUGGAGGUCUCCGUGACUGAAGCAGGGGAGGAAAGUCCGGGCUUCAUAGGGCAAGGUGCCAGGUAAUGCCUGGGCGGCGAAAGUCGACGGCAAGUGCAGCAGAGAGUAGACCGCCUAUUCCUCUCCCUAACCCUCUCCCAGAGGGCGAGGGGAUCAAGAGGUGUGGGUAAGGGUGAAAGGGUGCGGUAAGAGCGCACCGCGUGUCUGGUAACAGUUCACGGCAAGGUAAACCCCACCUGAAGCAAGACCAAAUAGGAAUCCUGAGGCACGGCCCGUGCUGGAUUCGGGUAGGUCGCUUGAGCGUAUGAGUGAUUGUACGCCUAGAGGAAUGAUCGUCCUCGACAGAACCCGGCUUAUAGGCCCACUUCUCAA